This 157-nucleotide ribosomal RNA is filed under the name Penicillium piscarium. Its description in RNAcentral is "5.8S ribosomal RNA". It matches the Rfam family "5.8S ribosomal RNA". From Rfam's summary of the family: 5.8S ribosomal RNA (5.8S rRNA) is a component of the large subunit of the eukaryotic ribosome. It is transcribed by RNA polymerase I as part of the 45S precursor that also contains 18S and 28S rRNA. The record is from RNAcentral. Lineage: Eukaryota; Fungi; Ascomycota; Eurotiomycetes; Eurotiales; Aspergillaceae.
AAACUUUCAACAACGGAUCUCUUGGUUCUCGGGCAUCGAUGAAGAACGCAGCGAAAUGCGAUACGUAAUGUGAAUUGCAGAAUUCAGUGAAUCAUCGAGUCUUUGAACGCACAUUGCGCCCCCUGGUAUUCCGGGGGGCAUGCCUGUCCGAGCGUAU